Molecule: ribosomal RNA, 1136 nt
Filed under: uncultured organism
Description: bacterial SSU rRNA
Rfam family: Bacterial small subunit ribosomal RNA
Source: RNAcentral
GUCGAGCGAGAAAGUUCCUUCGGGAAACGAGUACAGCGGCGCAAGGGUGAGUAACGCGUGAACAAUCUGCCCUCGACACCGGCAUAGCCCCGGGAAACCGGGAUUAAUACCGGACGGUGCUGUUUAGCCGCAUGGCUUUACAGUCAAAGGUUGACUCCGGUCGUGGAUGAGUUCGCGCCCCAUCAGCUUGUCGGUGAGGUAACGGCUCACCGAGGCGAAGACGGGUAGCUGGUCUGAGAGGAUGGUCAGCCACACUGGGACUGAGACACUGCCCAGACUCCUACGGGAGGCUGCAGUCGAGAAUCAUCCGCAAUGGGCGCAAGCCUGACGGUGCGAUGCCGCGUGAGGGAUGACGGCCUUCGGGUUGUAAACCUCUGUCAGGGGGGACGAAGAAGUGACGGUACCCCCAGAGGAAGCCACGGCUAACUACGUGCCAGCAGCCGCGGUAAUACGUAGGUGGCGAGCGUUAUUCGGAUUUACUGGGCGUAAAGGGUCCGUAGGGGGUCUGCCAAGUCUGGUGUGAAAUCCCGCAGCUCAACUGCGGACGUGCACUGGAAACUGGUGGACUUGAGUCCAUGACGGGAGAGCGGAAUUCCUGGUGUAGCGGUGGAAUGCGUAGAUUUCAGGAAGAAUACCGGCGGCGAAGGCGGCUCUCUGGCAUGGUACUGACCCUGAUGGACGAAAGCGUGGGUAGCGAACAGGAUUAGAUACCCUGGUAGUCCACGCUGUAAACGUUGUGCACUAGAUGUGGGGGGUCCUUUGGUCCCUUCCGUGUCCAAGCUAACGGCCGAUAAGUGCACCCGCCUGGGGACUUACGGCCGCAAGGGUAAAACUUCCAAAAGGAAUUGACGGGGCGCCGCACAAGCGGGUGGAGCAUGUGGCUUAAUUCGAGGCAACGCGAAGAACCUUACCCGGGUGUGACAUAUACCGGACCGGCCGUGAAAUCGGCCUUCUCUUCGGAGCCGGUAUACAGGUGCUGCAUGGCCGUCGUCAGCUCGUGCCGUGAGGUGUUCGGUUAAGUCCGGCAACGAGCGCAACCCAUGUGGUUAGUUGCCAUCAGGUAAUGCUGGGCACUCUAGCCAGACUGCCCGUGUCAAGCGGGAGGAAGGCGUGGAUGACGUCAAGUCCGUAUGGCC